GGCAGCGUGGCAGAAUUGGCAAAUGCUCCCGUCUUGAAAACGGGCGUCCGAAAGGACAUGUGGGAUCGAGACCUACCGCUGUCG
This 84-nucleotide transfer RNA is filed under the name Bacteriophage sp. RNAcentral describes it as "tRNA-Ser". The record is from RNAcentral.